GAUCUCUCUCUCUCUCUUUCUAAACUCUAUACACCCAUCUGCAUUCUAAACUGGUUUUUCUUUAAUUUUGGCCUGGAAAGAAGAGGUGGUUGCAGCAAGAUUUGGUACAGUUUAUAGGGUAAGGAGUAUAGAUCUAGCAGAAAUGAGGAGAGAGAGUGAGAGGGGCAAUUGUGGUAUUGUUGACAGAAGAUAGAGAGCACAGAUGAUGAAAUGCUAAACUGAAAAUAUUGCUGCCAAAAUUGAAAAGCAUCUCACUCCAUUUGUGCUCUCUAUGCUUCUGUCAUCACCUUCACACCCACUCCUCCUCUCUUAUCUUUCAUCACUUCUUUUAUUGGAAAUUAAAACUAUAUUUUUUUUUUUAUAAAUAUAUAUAGUUAUAACUAUAUAUUCUUGGGUUUCUUAAUUUCCCUUUGUGUCAGUGUCUUAUCUCUUGAUUUUCGUUCUGCCACAUUUUAAUUAAUAUAUUUUUAGCCUGUUUUGCUUUGGGGAUUUUGAGAUUUUCUUUCUGUUUUGGGUAUUUCCACAAAUGGAAAGGAGUGGUUGAACCUCUCUGAGUAUCAGCACAUACAGCUGCAGUGCUACUGUUUUUUCCAGUACCUUUAAACAAUAUUGCAGGUUUUCUUGGGCAAAUUAAAGGAAGAUUUUAGAUUGAAAAGUCACACUAUGACAGUAUUACUACCUACAAAUACGAUUAUGGAUCAUUCUUAGCAACUUGUAGUGUCAAGAUCUAAAGGUGUCCGCGCGGGUUUAGCUCACUCGUUCAGUAGACAGUAUUUAAAAGAAGAUCUAAUGGACUUGAAGUGUUUGCAUUUACAUGCACUUGGGACCAAUAUGUUGACAACCUCCUUGAAUUGGGGUGAUUGAUGAACUACAUCUCAAUCUCAAGGUAUAUAUAUAUAUUCUUUUUAUCAAAUAUGUGUUGUUAGCUUUUUGUAUAUACUGUUAAUGUGUGAUGCCUCCUAGAAAUGAAUUGAAUUAAUUAUACAUGGAGAAAAUUUUGGAAUUAUUAUGAUUUUGAGAUGUUUGUGAAGAACAUAUUCCUGGGAAGAAUGAAAGAAGAAAGCAGCAAGAGUUGUUGAUACCUUUAUCUUUGAUUUCAUGUAUACCAACACUUUUAAAUAAAUUAGUAAGCAAACAAAACAACUAAGAUGUUAAUUAGUUUCAAUGGCAGGUUUCAGCAUCAUAAGACACUAUUAGCAGCAAUUCUUAGUAUCCAUUGUCAGCUACUCAGCUAUCAUAUAGUUAAAACCCUUCCAGUUUCAAUUAUUUCUGUAUUAUCUCUUUAAUAGAAAAGUGUACCCAAAAAAAAUAUAUCUUUAUUAGAAAAAUAUUUUAUUCAAAUUAAAUACUGGCCAGGGAUACUUUAUAAGUCUUUCUUGAUUGUUAUAAUACUAUAUAUGUCAUCUGAGUAAUCAUUAGAAGUGAAAUUUUUAAAUAUGAAUAAUACAGAUGUCAUGAAAUCUAUGCUAUGAGGAGAUUAUAUUAAAUUCAAAACUUAUAUAUUAUAAAGAAUAAUUGAAAGAUGUAAUAGUAUAGGGAUCAUGAUAUUAAGAAAACAACAGUUACUUACCUGGCCUUUAAGUCCUUAAAUGCAUCAUUUUGAUCUGCAUAGUGGCAUGUAUAUAUACAUACAUCAAUAAUGUUUGCAAGGUACUAUGUUGUUUUCAUGAAUAACCUUAAUAGCAUUCCAAUUCAUAUUUAUGCAUCCUUAAACUACACUAUUCAAAUCUAUUGUGCGUUCAUUCUACGUUGAAUAUAAUCCCUAUAUAUAGAUGUGGAUAGCAAAUACUGGUCUGGCAUAGUGUUAAAGCAUAUGUGUGUGUGUGUGUAUAUAUACAUAUAUAUAUGUGUGUGCGCGUUUUUGUGUGUGUGUGUGUAACUAAUGCACUUUAUUAUUAAUAAUGCCCUAUUGCCUAUUUGACUUGGUUAAACAACUAAUAUAAGUGUUUGAUUAAUAUGUUUUUUACAACAUCUUAUUGGUCCUAAACGCCAAAUUUAAGAUGAAAGUAUAUAUGGACAUAUAGGAUUAAAUUGCCUAGAAUGUAUGCCAGAAUUGGAUUUUUUUUUCUUUUUAAUGGUUUAAUGUAAUUUUCUUGUUUCAAUUUUGAUGUGCUAAGGAACACAACCAGUAUGCGCUAAGUAUAUACCUUAAUUAAUUAUGGCCUACCUUCAACUACUUCCAUUAAAUGAGAAUUAUGUCGAAA
This is a long non-coding RNA of Ipomoea triloba (trilobed morning glory), 2204 nucleotides long. RefSeq lists it as uncharacterized. Lineage: Eukaryota; Viridiplantae; Streptophyta; Magnoliopsida; Solanales; Convolvulaceae. The transcript has 2 exons. The record is from RefSeq and is a predicted model, not a curated record.